RNAcentral lists this ribosomal RNA (468 nucleotides) under uncultured bacterium. RNAcentral's name for it is "partial 16S ribosomal RNA". It matches the Rfam family "Bacterial small subunit ribosomal RNA", at positions 28 to 507 of the family's 1533-position model. The record is from RNAcentral.
GACGAACGCUGGCGGUGUGCUUAACACAUGCAAGUCGAACGGAAAGGCCCUGCUUGUGUGGGGUGCCCGAGGGGCGAACGGGUGAGUAACACGUGAGUAACCUGCUCUUGACUUUGGGAUAACUUCAGGAAACUGGGGCUAAUACCGGAUAGGAGCUCCUGCUGCAUGGUGGGGGUUGGAAAGUUUCGGCGGUUGGGGAUGGACUCGCGGCUUAUCAGCUUGUUGGUGGGGUAGUGGCUUACCAAGGCUUUGACGGGUAGCCGGCCUGGGAGGGUGACCGGCCACAUUGGGCCUAAGGGACGGAGCAGACGGCUACGGGAGGCAACAGUGGGGAAUAUUGCACAGUGGGCGGAAGCGUGAUGCGGAGGCGCCGGGUGCGGGAUGACGGCCUUCGGGUUGUAAACCGCUUUCGCCUAUGACGACGCGUGAGUGACGGUAAUGGGUAAAUAAGCACCGGCUAACUACGUG